AAAUUGAAGAGUUUGAUCAUGGCUCAGAUUGAACGCUGGCGGCAGGCCUAACACAUGCAAGUCGAACGGUAACAGGAAGCAGCUUGCUGCUUUGCUGACGAGUGGCGGACGGGUGAGUAAUGUCUGGGAAACUGCCUGAUGGAGGGGGAUAACUACUGGAAACGGUAGCUAAUACCGCAUAACGUCGCAAGACCAAAGAGGGGGACCUUCGGGCCUCUUGCCAUCGGAUGUGCCCAGAUGGGAUUAGCUAGUAGGUGGGGUAACGGCUCACCUAGGCGACGAUCCCUAGCUGGUCUGAGAGGAUGACCAGCCACACUGG
RNAcentral lists this ribosomal RNA (319 nucleotides) under Escherichia coli. RNAcentral's name for it is "bacterial SSU rRNA". It matches the Rfam family "Bacterial small subunit ribosomal RNA", at positions 1 to 316 of the family's 1533-position model. Lineage: Bacteria; Pseudomonadati; Pseudomonadota; Gammaproteobacteria; Enterobacterales; Enterobacteriaceae. The record is from RNAcentral. RNAcentral also lists the same sequence under 1 other name.